GAUGAACGCUAGCUACAGGCUUAACACAUGCAAGUCGAGGGGUAACGAGAGGAAAGCUUGCUUUCCUUGUCGACGACCGGCGCACGGGUGAGUAACGCGUAUCCAACCUGCCCCCAACUAGGGAAUAACCUUGCGAAAGUAAGACUAAUACCCUAUAAUUUCCUCAGAUGUCAUCUGACGAGGAAUAAAGAUUUAUCGGUUGUGGAUGGGGAUGCGUCUGAUUAGCUUGUUGGCGGGGUAACGGCCCACCAAGGCAACGAUCAGUAGGGGUUCUGAGAGGAAGGUCCCCCACAUUGGAACUGAGACACGGUCCAAACUGCUACGGGAGGCAGCAGUGAGGAAUAUUGGUCAAUGGGCGGAAGCCUGAACCAGCCAAGUAGUGUGCAGGAUGACGGCCCUAUGGGUUGUAAACUGCUUUUAUACAGGAAUAAAGUUAGCCACGUGUGGUUAUUUGUAGGUACUGUAUGAAUAAGGACCGGCUAAUUCCGUGCCAGCCGCCGCGGUAA
This 506-nucleotide ribosomal RNA is filed under the name uncultured bacterium. RNAcentral describes it as "partial 16S ribosomal RNA". It matches the Rfam family "Bacterial small subunit ribosomal RNA", at positions 28 to 523 of the family's 1533-position model. The record is from RNAcentral.